RNA transcript from Musa acuminata AAA Group (dessert banana), 1688 nucleotides. It is a transcript of the gene named serine/arginine-rich splicing factor SC35, with no coding region annotated. The transcript has 9 exons. NCBI's taxonomy places the organism in Eukaryota, Viridiplantae, Streptophyta, Magnoliopsida, Zingiberales, Musaceae. The record is from RefSeq and is a predicted model, not a curated record.
AUUCGAUCCUUCGUUCAACUUCUCGAGACGCCUUCGCUUCUCCUUGGGAACCCUAACCCUAGACUCCAACCCCUUCUUGUCGUCGUUGGCCAUGUCGCACUUCGGGAGAUCGGGGCCGCCGGACAUCAAGGACACCUACUCCCUUCUCGUCCUCAACAUCAGCUUCCGAACCACGGCGGAUGAUCUCUUCCCACUCUUUGAUCGGUAUGGUAAAGUGGUUGACGUUUUCAUUCCAAGGGAUCGGAGGAGUGGAGAAUCGCGGGGGUUUGCUUUUGUGAGGUAUAAGUAUGCAGAUGAGGCACAGAAGGCUGUUGAAAGGCUCGAUGGCAAGUUUCUGUUCUUCUUCUUGAUGAUUUCGUUGAGUGUUUUUUUUUAUAGCUCAAGAUCUGAGAUUUAUGUUGAUAUCUAUUUUAUUUUUUUUGAUCUUUUAGGGAGGAAUGUGGAUGGGCGGAAUAUUAUGGUUCAAUUUGCAAAAUAUGGACCGAACGCUGAACGAAUUCAUAAAGGAAGAAUUGUUGAGGCAAUUCCAAAGACGAGGGGCAGGUCAAGAAGCCGUAGCCCUCGACCCAGGUACAGAGACAGUAACCGAGAGAGGGAUUAUAGGAGGCGAAGUCGUAGUAGAAGCAGAGGUAGGUACGAGAGUGACAGGUACAAUGAUCGAGAAAGGGAUUAUCGCCGCCGCAGCCGCAGUGCAAGCCCUGAUUACUCUAGAGGCCGUGGUAGAGAUGAUCGAAGGAGUCGAAGUGUCUCGUAUGACAGUGCCUCACCGGCUAGGCAUAGUCCUAGUCCUGAAAGGAGCCUGACGCCCCGCCGAACACCUCCUUCAAGUCCUGAGAAAGGUAGCCGUGGUGAACGUUCCCCACCUUCAAAAAGUGCAUCACCCCUGGCUCGCCGUACUGGUUCCCGGAGUCCAUCUUCUCGCAGCUUAAAUGAGGAUUAACAUGCUGCUUAUGCAUUGGAGGAUGUGUAUUACCGUUGCUAUCUAACUUUGGAUUCGGUGGACUCCUGUUAAGUUAUCUGUUCGUGAAAGUGCUGAUGUGGCAUUUGACGAGAUGAUAUCAGAAGGAUGUUUCCUUGCUGAUGAUGUUCUGGCCGAUGAUCUUAGUUCAUUAUUGAUGUUGAUGGUGAUGAUGAAUGUUGAUGGUGAUGUUGAUGGUGAUGAUGAAUGUUGAUGGUGCUGUUGAGCUGUUGGUGACUGAAUGCUGUUCGUUUGAUGCUCGUGAUGUCAUUCUGCAGUCACAACAUUGUAGAAACAAGAAGAGGGUUCCAGUAUGCAUCAUGAGGUGUUUAAUUACAUGCAUUGAUUUUGAGUUGCACUAAAGAGUAGUGCUAGCAGUGAUGAUCGUGCCAUUUCCUGUUUCAAUUAACACAUGAUGCCUUUUGAAGAGUUGGAUAUGCAAUUGCACAUGGAUGUGAUGCAGAAGCCGUGCUGGGGUGCACAAUUGAUUUCCAUCUGACACUAAUUUGAAGCAAUUUGUGCUUCCAACCUUGUCCACUGCAUGCUUAGAUGGUUUGGCUGCUGUCAGAAGACUUGUAGAUUGAUGGUCUGACACAAAGACAACGGGUACCAGCAAUUAUAGGCUUAUGUUAUGGAACAAUUGCAUGCUUAUGAGUAUGGAACAAUCAAAUGGUUGGAACAAUCUAUAGAGGUUGCUUUAUAUCAUUAUUCUCUUGUGGUCUUGCAAUUA